UAAAACCAGCACCUCAAGUGGUCAGGAUGAUUAUUGGGCCUAAAGCAUCCGUAGCCGGCUCUGUAAGUUUUCGGUUAAAUCUGUACGCUCAACGUACAGGCUGCCGGGAAUACUGCAGAGCUAGGGAGUGGGAGAAGUAGACGGUACUCGGUAGGAAGUGGUAAAAUGCUUUGAUCUAUCGAUGACCACCUGUGGCGAAGGCGUCUACUAGAACACGUCCGACGGUGAGGGAUGAAAGCUGGGGGAGCAAACCGGAUUAGAUACCCGGGUAGUCCCAGCUGUAAACUAUGCAAACUCAGUGAUGCAUUGGCUUGUGGCCAAUGCAGUGCUGCAGGGAAGCCGUUAAGUUUGCCGCCUGGGAAGUACGUACGCAAGUAUG
RNAcentral lists this ribosomal RNA (379 nucleotides) under uncultured Nitrososphaerota archaeon. RNAcentral's name for it is "bacterial SSU rRNA". It matches the Rfam family "Archaeal small subunit ribosomal RNA", at positions 471 to 851 of the family's 1478-position model. Lineage: Archaea; Thermoproteati; Nitrososphaerota. The record is from RNAcentral.